Molecule: long non-coding RNA, 1498 nt
Filed under: Apteryx rowi (Okarito brown kiwi)
Lineage: Eukaryota; Metazoa; Chordata; Aves; Apterygiformes; Apterygidae
Description: lncRNA (ENSARWG00000005727.1)
Source: RNAcentral
UGCAGACAUUUGAAAGCGUAAAGGGAGGGUGGAGGAUGUCUUUUUUUCUCUCUCUCUCCCUCCUCUCUCUCUCUCUCUCUCCUCUCUCUCUCUCUCUCUCUCUUUCCCUCUCCUGAAUUAUUCAUAGUGUCAGUGGUGAAGCCAGGACUAUUAGCAUGCAUCAGACAUGCUGUUUGUCUGUUUGCUAACAUUCUUCAUUCAAGACUUGUUAACUACCAGACAAGCUUAACACGCUUCUCUUUUUUCCCCUCCCCUUCCCUCUCCCUGUGUCUCUGUCUCUGCGCGCCUGCCUCCCCUCAUUUCUGCCUUCCCUUGCCUUGCCUUUCAUGCCACCCCUCUCAGCCUCCCAUUGUUGUUGCCGAGAGCUGGCAGCCAGGGGUGGCGGUGGCAGGGGAAGCAUGCGGACGAGGAGCCGGAGCCCGGUUGCUAGCAUACUAGCCUGGAUGCAAUCUCCCUGUAAGGAGUGUGAAAUGUACAGCUGCAAAACUACAGUUUUAAGCAAAAAAAAAGCUCUUCCUCAUCUGAACCAUCAUUCAAAACACAAGAUGAAAGUAGCUGAAGAAAAGUUGUUUAUGAUAUCAUCUGCAGGACUCCUAGAAAAUUCUUUGGAAACUUGGGCAUGUCUGUCUCAGGCUGCCCCUAAAAGAAAUGAAGUAUUAAUCUGGCAAGAUGAAAUCAAGAUGCACAAAGAGAAGAUAUUAGAGACUAUUCUGCAAGGUGUUCAGAGGAGAACAGUAAAUGGAAAGGAAACACCUCCGAAGGAAUAGAAAGCCAUCAUAACAGGGGAGUAAAGACAAGAGGAAUGAAGAUAUAACAAAAUGCCAUGGGCAAUGCAUGGCUGGCAGUGAAAGAUGGAAGCCACCAGAGGAAGUGUUCAGAGGUAGCUCGUGGUGGUGAUGCCAGGAGAGGUAAAAGGUGGGAGUUAUUAUUCCCACAGUGGGUUCCAGUUGAGCAGAAAUCAAAAGGAAAUUGUUAGGAUCAAUGCAUAGAGAAAAUGCUACUGUUCAUCAAGACAUCAUAAAAAGACAUCAUAAAAACACCAUUAUGAGAUUGGCGUGGGCCAGAAAUGGCCAGAUUUGUUGUAUGAAAACGAUCACUGAUUGCUGCAUUUUCAGAUGAAGUAGGAAAUCAGUUUAUUUCUAAAUCAGAUUGGCAGAAUACCAUUUGUUAUUUAAAAAAAAAAAAUACAAUAACCUAACCAAAACCCUCAAAUACACACUUUUAAAGUCGGUGAUUUUAUGAAUCUUCCAGUGGGCUUGUAUGUCAUGUAUAUACUCAUAGUUAGUACCGAUACAGUAGACAUAUCUUAACACAGAAUACUUAAGUAAUUCUGUUUUCUUUCUUGAAGGUGUUUACUGCAUUUCAGGCAGGUUAAAGCUGGGUGUUUUUCUGGCUCUUGGGACUGACAUUCAGCUUUCCUAUUAUGUCUUAUUAAAGGCUCUGUCAAGUUUGAAAAUCAUCCAAGUUAAAAUAAAAACAGUGUCUAUAGAGAGGGACA